Molecule: ribosomal RNA, 528 nt
Filed under: uncultured Arcocellulus
Lineage: Eukaryota; Bacillariophyta; Thalassiosirophyceae; Cymatosirales; Cymatosiraceae
Description: bacterial SSU rRNA
Rfam family: Bacterial small subunit ribosomal RNA
Source: RNAcentral
GUGGCGGACGGGUGAGUAACACGUGAGAAUUUGCCUUUAGGAGGGGGAUAACAGAGUGAAAACGCUGCUAAUACCCCAUAUGCUUUCGAGUGAAAUGGAUUUAUUCGCCUAAAGAGAAGCUCGCGGCUGAUUAGCUUGUUGGUAAGGUAAUGGCUUACCAAGGCGACGAUCAGUAUCUGGUUUGAGAGGACGGUCAGACACACUGGAACUGAGACACGGUCCAGACUCCUACGGGAGGCAGCAGUGGGGAAUUUUCCGCAAUGGGCGAAAGCCUGACGGAGCAAUACCGCGUGAGGGAUGACUGCCUAUGGGUUGUAAACCUCUUUUCUCAGGGAGGAAAUCAAUGACGUUACCUGAGGAAUAAGCAUCGGCUAACUCCGUGCCAGCAGCCGCGGUAAGACGGAGGAUGCAAGUGUUAUCCGGAAUCACUGGGCGUAAAGCGUCUGUAGGUGGCUUAACAAGUCAACUGUUAAAUCUUGAAGCUCAACUUCGAAAUCGCAGUCGAAACUGUUAGGCUAGAGUAUAGUA